AUACGGAGGGUGCAAGCGUUAAUCGGAAUUACUGGGCGUAAAGCGCGCGUAGGCGGAUAUUUAAGUCUCAUGUGAAAGCCCUGGGCUCAACCUGGGAACUGCAUGGGAUACUGGGUAUCUAGAAUACAGUAGAGGGUAGUGGAAUUUCAGGUGUAGCGGUGAAAUGCGUAGAGAUCUGAAGGAACAUCAGUGGCGAAGGCGACUACCUGGACUGAUAUUGACGCUGAGGUGCGAAAGCGUGGGGAGCAAACGGGAUUAGAAACCCGAGUAGUCC
This 274-nucleotide ribosomal RNA is filed under the name uncultured bacterium. Its description in RNAcentral is "partial 16S ribosomal RNA". It matches the Rfam family "Bacterial small subunit ribosomal RNA", at positions 523 to 796 of the family's 1533-position model. The record is from RNAcentral.